AGACUGUUCAGAUUCAAAAGGGAAGUAUGGUUAACAUUAUUAACAGCAGCUAUAAAUCUAAAAGAAUUAACAUAGAAAUGUCUUCAUCCACCAUGAGCGUAAAGAAAGCGUGAAGAAAGGUUUGAGCUAAUUCCAGUUGAAAUAGUUUGUUACUUACUUAGUCAUAUUGUCCUUUAAAUAUUCAAAGCUGAAGCAAAAACACAACAAUUGUUGCUUCUAGAAACAGCCCAGUUCUCUGUGCUGUGCUUUGCACACUACUGAUCUAAGGCAGACAAACAAAAACAACACAACUGCUGCUCAUCCUGCUUGAUUUCUACUUUUUUUGCUUUGCCCUACCCCUUUCCCAGGUGAUUGGUUGGGUUCCAGGUGGGCCUAAUGGUAUAUAAGCUGCAGGUGUCAUAUCAGAAAACUUCUUCCAUCUGAGCUGCUCUUUGGGGGUAAGUGCUUUGUUUUUUCUGCAGCCAGUUGUGGGGUUCUUUUGGUGGGUCAGAGUGUAUGGGCUGAUGUGUUUCCAAGUUGAUAGAGGAUGUCUUCCAGAUCCACAGGAAACCAUUAAAUGCUAGUAAUGCCAAUAAGACAACGAAGUAAACUGAAGCACAAGAAGCUGAAAAAGAGGAACUUAAUCAUAUUAAUGGAAGCACUAAAAAGACAUCAGCAUGCAGAUCACUGCAUACAAUAUGCGAUCAAGUUAUUGGAAAGAAAAACAGCCGUAGGUUUAGAAAAAUCAUUUCAGUCUCCCUAUAUUGCUGAUCCUUUGAGUAUCCUGUCUAUAGAAGAAAGAAAUGCAGUUCCAAGGAGCUGGUUUGUCAGAAGGCAAAACACACUCGGUAUGAAAAAAGCAUAAAACCUAGAAUUCAGUUUCAGGCUUAUGUUCUCUAGUUUUCUUUAAAA
RNAcentral lists this long non-coding RNA (891 nucleotides) under Anser brachyrhynchus (Pink-footed goose). Its description in RNAcentral is "lncRNA (ENSABRG00000004541.1)". The record is from RNAcentral. Lineage: Eukaryota; Metazoa; Chordata; Aves; Anseriformes; Anatidae.